This 87-nucleotide transfer RNA is filed under the name Betaproteobacteria bacterium RBG_16_64_18. Its description in RNAcentral is "tRNA-Leu". It matches the Rfam family "tRNA". Rfam says of the family: Transfer RNA (tRNA) molecules are approximately 80 nucleotides in length. RNAcentral also lists the same sequence under 2 other names. Lineage: Bacteria; Pseudomonadati; Pseudomonadota; Betaproteobacteria. The record is from RNAcentral.
GCCGGGAUGGCGGAACUGGUAGACGCAGCGGACUCAAAAUCCGCCGGUGGCAACACUGUGGGGGUUCGAGUCCCCCUCCCGGCACCA